RNAcentral lists this ribosomal RNA (447 nucleotides) under uncultured bacterium. RNAcentral's name for it is "bacterial SSU rRNA". It matches the Rfam family "Bacterial small subunit ribosomal RNA", at positions 355 to 825 of the family's 1533-position model. The record is from RNAcentral.
UGGGGAAUUGUUCGCAAUGGGCGCAAGCCUGACGACGCAACGCCGCGUGAAGGAUGAAGUAUUUCGGUAUGUAAACUUCGAAAGAAUAGGAAGAAUAAAUGACGGUACUAUUUAUAAGGUCCGGCUAACUACGUGCCAGCAGCCGCGGUAAUACGUAGGGACCAAGCGUUGUUCGGAUUUACUGGGCGUAAAGGGCGCGUAGGCGGCAAUUCAAGUCAUCUGUGAAAUCUCCGGGCUUAACUCGGAACGGUCAGAUGAUACUGCUUUGCUAGAGUGCAGAAGGGGCAAUCGGAAUUCUUGGUGUAGCGGUGAAAUGCGUAGAUAUCAAGAGGAACACCUGAGGUGAAGACGGGUUGCUGGGCUGACACUGACGCUGAGGCGCGAAAGCCAGGGGAGCAAACGGGAUUAGAUACCCACGUAGUCCCUGAGCGGGCUGGCAAGGCGCAU